AGUCUUCUGUAUCCGUGCUGAGAUUUCAUCAGCGAUCAAACCACUGGCGCGUUGGCUGAUGCGACUCCCCAAAUAAGUGAAGUA
This 84-nucleotide microRNA precursor is filed under the name Trichobilharzia regenti. Its description in RNAcentral is "mir-3492 microRNA precursor family". It matches the Rfam family "mir-3492 microRNA precursor family". Lineage: Eukaryota; Metazoa; Platyhelminthes; Trematoda; Strigeidida; Schistosomatidae. The record is from Rfam by way of RNAcentral.